Molecule: ribosomal RNA, 439 nt
Filed under: uncultured bacterium
Lineage: Bacteria
Description: bacterial SSU rRNA
Rfam family: Bacterial small subunit ribosomal RNA
Source: RNAcentral
UAUUGCACAAUGGGGGAAACCCUGAUGCAGCCAUGCCGCGUGUGUGAAGAAGGCCUUCGGGUUGUAAAGCACUUUCAGUAGGGAGGAAGGUAGUGUAGUUAACACCUGCAUUAUUUGACGUUACCUACAGAAGAAGCACCGGCUAACUCCGUGCCAGCAGCCGCGGUAAUACGGAGGGUGCGAGCGUUAAUCGGAAUUACUGGGCGUAAAGCGCAUGCAGGCGGCCUGUUAAGUCAGAUGUGAAAGCCCCGGGGCUUAACCUCGGAAUUGCAUUUGAAACUGGCAGGCUAGAGUCUUGUAGAGGGGGUAGAAUUUCAGGUGUAGCGGUGAAAUGCGUAGAGAUCUGAAGGAAUACCAGUGGCGAAGGCGGCCCCCUGGACAAAGACUGACGCUCAGAUGCGAAAGCGUGGGGAGCAAACAGGAUUAGAUACCCUGGUAG